Non-coding RNA from Cricetulus griseus (Chinese hamster), 304 nucleotides. The record is from Rfam. Lineage: Eukaryota; Metazoa; Chordata; Mammalia; Rodentia; Cricetidae.
AGACAUCAGAGGGACCUGGCAGUGACAUCCAUCACCCACUGAUCACUUGGGCAGAUCUGAUUGAUCUAACUGGCUAGGUGGGUGUCUCUUUCCUCUGCUCAUUGCUCCACAUGCACCCCUCCCAGAGUCACACACUUGGUGGAAGAAGAUAAACUUCCCUGAUUGUGGAGGUCUGUUCAGUGUGUGAGUACCCACACCCCAUCCUAGAACCUCCAAACAAACUCUCAACAUCCAAUCCUCCCAUUCCACAUUAUGUCUAGUUCCCAAGCAUUUCCAGAUUCUAUGGCCAUCAGCGCUUUUAUCU